CAGGGGCUGAUUUCACAGCACAUUUGCUCCAUCUGAGCGAUCACUCUUUGCAACAGUUGGAUUUCCAUUCGGCGUUUACCUCGUGUGCCCAGAAUCAGGACUGUCUGCCUCCUUGGGGUUGAAUCGUUUUAUUUUCUUUGGGGCUUGGCCAAACCCUUUCCGUCAGCCUCGGUUCCAUCUAGGCAUUUCCAUUUGCGUGUGGGCAAGACAGACCAAAUUCACAGAGGUUUCCAGAGCCCAAGGACAAUGCCCACUCCUUGUAGAAUAUAAAAAGUGGGGAGAGAAUCCACCAAACCUUUUUUUUUUUUAAAGAUUUUAUUUUUUCCUUUUUCUCCCCAAAGCCCCCCAGUAUACAGUUGUAUAUCCUUCGUUGUGGGUCCUUCUAGUUGUGGCAUGUGGGACGCUGCCUCAGCGUGGUUUGAUGAGCAGUGCCACGUCGGCGCCCAGGAUUCGAACCAACGAAACACUGGGCCGCCUGCAACGGAGCGCGCGAACUUCACCACUCGGCCACGGGGCCAGCCCCCAUCCACCAAACCUUUUGAUUUCACAGAGAUAGAUGUUUACUUACAAUGGAAGACAACAAAAGCCAGAAUGGCAACAGACUUAGGAAAUGCCACGUUCUCUCGAGGAGCCAGGCCGGCCUCUGGAGGAUGCCUGACGGGGCCCUGUGAGGAAGAACUGGUUGAUGGGCAGCAUCGCACGUGACAAAGAGAACCCCGAAGAGGCUUAGAAGUGGCAAUGAACGUUCCUGUCCACUCUGCUGAGGUCGUCGGGGAGGGAUUCAUCAAACUGCAGCUCUCAGUCAGCAUUCCCAGAGGGAGACCUCUUCCCACGGGUGGGGUUGUGUGUUAGCAUUGCGGCGACGGAGAGGAUAAAGCGGCAAGAGGAAGAGUCAUCCUGCCUCCCCCUCUCCUGUGGAAAAGGCAGGCAGCCCACCAGGAGGACUUCAGCUCCACAGAGGGCCAGAUGGCAAUAGGCCCCUCACAGGGAAGCCAGCAGCAGGGGUGGCAGAUGGUCCCUAGCCUGCAGAGGAUCUCUGCAAAGAGGCUUCAUACAAGAGGGAACAAAGUUUCUGGCACCACCAUGCAGUAUGUGCUAGUAAAUGUUUAACAAAUAGCUGUCCAGAAAAAAAAGUCUCUGAUUUGUAGCACUGGCCAAUUUUCGUGGUGUAAACACUCUCACCGUCAUCAAUUUCAGGCUCUCAACCUGAACAAGGAGUCACUGAAAGAGGAGUUGGGAAGAAACGUGCAAGAUCAGCUCUGGCAGGCCAGUAGGAGCAGCGCUAGCAUGCCGCUGCCCCGGGCUAGGCCUGCAGGCCUCCCACAGAAGGGAAGGAGAGCCCAGCGAAUUCUUAGGGGACUCGAUGUAUUUUCUAUAGAUUUCUGCUCUCUGUGUGUUCCCUCUUCUCUUUCAACAUAAACAAUGAACAUUCGGCUGUGAUUCCGUUAAGUAUGACCUCAUGAACUCAGGGUUUAAAAAAAGUCAUUUUUCAGAACCACAGCCUAUAUUUGGACCCAAAUUGGCAGAAAGGACUGAGGGUUACACCUUUUAUAAAAUAACAACAAUAAAUAUUUUUUAGUAUUCUUCAAAUAUUACCCUAGAGCUCGUCAUACACAGCUUGAGAUGGUCAAUAACAGGCAACAUUUAUUGAGUGCCCACUGUGUACCACGUACCCUACAUGUAUUAACUCAUUUAAUCUUUACUACAACUUUAUGAGAAAGGUACUAUUAUUUAGAGAAUUACACCUUUUAAACAAAUAACCAUAGUGAAUACUUUUGAAUAAAACUAUGUGUUAUUCUAGACUGUUCACAAUGCAGUUUGAGAUGGUUAAAAAUAGCAAACAUUUAGUGAGUGAGCACUAGGCACCUGAUGUUUUCCAUGAACUCUCCAUUGAAUUUUUUUUGAAGUUUUUUUUUUCUUUGAGGAAGACUGGCCCUGAGCUAACAUCCAUUUCCAUCUUCCUCUACUUUAUGUGUGGGACACCUGCCACAGCAUGGCUUGAUAAGCGAUGCGUAGGUCUGCACCCGGGAUCCGAACCUGCAAAGCCCAGGCUGCCAAAGCGAAGCACAUGAACUUAACCACUACACCACCAGGCCAGUCCCUCCAUUGAAUUUCUAUAAUGACCUAUGAGCCAGGUGUUACUACGAUACUUACAUUACAGUUAAAGGAAAUAGAGGACAGAAAGUGACUUCCUGAAGGUCAGGGUCACACCCAGGCAGCCUGGCACCAAAGCGUGCUCUUUCGUAUGGGACUCUACCAUUUCUGAGCAGAAAUGUUCCUAGGCAGAUCCUUGACCUUCAGGGGAGAUGUCUGACCUUGAUUUAAAAGCAAUGCACUUCUCGUUCAAAUGUUUCUGCACAGCUGCCCUUCCCAACGUGGGCACUUCCUUCAGGCUGUAAACACUACCUUUCUCACUUGGCAGCAGAUACUGGUUGGCAUUAUGUUACUGUGGUCUGUGAUUUAGAGCUGAAGUAUCCACGUGCUGAGAAGUCAGGAGAUGAAUCUGGAAUCAAAUGCUAUUCUCCGAAUUGCUAGUCAAGUUCAAUGUUAUCCCCUUGAAAACCACUCCUAAACCACAUGCAAUUCAGCUCAAGUAAGGGGGUUAAAGAAAGUCAGAUUUCAGGAGGCUUCUAUUGAUCUCCAUCUUUAGUCUGUUUAGUACUGAAACAGUUUUGAAGUUUCUGCCUCAUUGGAGUGACAUAAUUUACACCUUUCUUUCUGAGGUUGUCUUAGCUGAGCUGCACAGCGGUGUUCUUAUGUAGACAAAGCUACUGGAGUUUAGAAACAGGAAAGGCUAGAAACUCACUUUUUAAAGUAAAAUAAAGCUUACACAGUGGGGG
This 2840-nucleotide long non-coding RNA is filed under the name Equus caballus (horse). Its description in RNAcentral is "lncRNA (ENSECAG00000030115.3)". Lineage: Eukaryota; Metazoa; Chordata; Mammalia; Perissodactyla; Equidae. The record is from RNAcentral.